UGUGACUGUGGCAGAGAGGAGGUGCAUUGUGACGGGAGGUGCACUGUGACUGACAGGGGGUGCACUGUGGCAGAGAGGAGGUGCAUUGUGACGGGAGGUGCACUGUGACUGACAGGAGGUGCACUGUGGCAGAGAGGAGAUGCACUGUGGCAGAGAGGAGGUGCACUGUGGCAGAGAGGAGGUGCACCGUGACAGAGAGGAGGUGCACUGUGACAGAGAGGAGGUGCACUGUGACAGAGAGGAGGUGCACUGUGGUUUUCAUGGGGGAGGAAGUUGAGAGACAGUCUGUCAUCGAUGGUGAAUAGUCACUUAUUUUACAUGAAGCAUAUUAGUGAUGUAUGGGUCAAGGACAAAUAAGGCCUCUAAAAG
Molecule: long non-coding RNA, 369 nt
Organism: Gasterosteus aculeatus aculeatus (three-spined stickleback)
Lineage: Eukaryota; Metazoa; Chordata; Actinopteri; Perciformes; Gasterosteidae
Source: Ensembl